CAGGCGAAGCUUUAACAUGCAAGUCGAGCGGCAGCGCGGGGCAACCUGGCGGCGAGCGGCGAACGGGUGAGUAAUACAUCGGAACGUACCCAGUUGUGGGGGAUAGCCCGGCGAAAGCCGGAUUAAUACCGCAUACGACCUGAGGGUGAAAGGGGGGGAUCGCAAGACCUCUCGCAGUUGGAGCGGCCGAUGGCGGAUUAGCUAGUUGGUGGGGUAAAGGCCUACCAAGGCGACGAUCCGUAGCGGGUCUGAGAGGACGACCCGCCACACUGGAACUGAGACACGGUCCAGACUCCUACGGGAGGCAGCAGUGGGGAAUUUUGGACAAUGGGGGAAACCCUGAUCCAGCCAUUCCGCGUGAGUGAAGAAGGCCUUCGGGUUGUAAAGCUCUUUCGGCAGGAACGAAACGGCGGAUCCUAAUACGGUCUGCUAAUGACGGUACCUGAAGAAGAAGCACCGGCUAACUACGUGCCAGCAGCCGCGGUAAUACGUAGGGUGCGAGCGUUAAUCGGAAUUACUGGGCGUAAAGCGUGCGCAGGCGGCUUUGUAAGACAGAUGUGAAAUCCCCGGGCUCAACCUGGGAACUGCGUUUGUGACUGCAAGGCUCGAGUGUGGCAGAGGGGGGUGGAAUUCCACGUGUAGCAGUGAAAUGCGUAGAGAUGUGGAGGAACACCGAUGGCGAAGGCAGCCCCCUGGGUCAACACUGACGCUCAUGCACGAAAGCGUGGGGAGCAAACAGGAUUAGAUACCCUGGUAGUCCACGCCCUAAACGAUGCGAACUAGGUGUUGGGGAAGGAGACUUUCUUAGUGCCGCAGCUAACGCGUGAAGUUCGCCGCCUGGGGAGUACGGUCGCAAGAUUAAAACUCAAAGGAAUUGACGG
Molecule: ribosomal RNA, 881 nt
Filed under: uncultured beta proteobacterium
Lineage: Bacteria; Pseudomonadati; Pseudomonadota; Betaproteobacteria
Description: bacterial SSU rRNA
Rfam family: Bacterial small subunit ribosomal RNA
Source: RNAcentral